RNAcentral lists this transfer RNA (74 nucleotides) under Minisyncoccota bacterium. RNAcentral's name for it is "tRNA-Val". It matches the Rfam family "tRNA". From Rfam's summary of the family: Transfer RNA (tRNA) molecules are approximately 80 nucleotides in length. Their secondary structure includes four short double-helical elements and three loops (D, anti-codon, and T loops). Further hydrogen bonds mediate the characteristic L-shaped molecular structure. tRNAs have two regions of fundamental functional importance: the anti-codon, which is responsible for specific mRNA codon recognition, and the 3' end, to which the tRNAs corresponding amino acid is attached (by aminoacyl-tRNA synthetases). tRNAs cope with the degeneracy of the genetic code in two manners: having more than one tRNA (with a specific anti-codon) for a particular amino acid; and 'wobble' base-pairing, i.e. permitting non-standard base-pairing at the 3rd anti-codon position. RNAcentral also lists the same sequence under 1 other name. The record is from RNAcentral. Lineage: Bacteria; Bacillati; Minisyncoccota.
GGGCGGUUAGCUCAGUUGGUUAGAGCGUUACAUUGACAUUGUAAAGGUCAGAGGUUCGACUCCUCUACCGCCCA